RNAcentral lists this ribosomal RNA (468 nucleotides) under uncultured bacterium. Its description in RNAcentral is "partial 16S ribosomal RNA". It matches the Rfam family "Bacterial small subunit ribosomal RNA", at positions 28 to 507 of the family's 1533-position model. The record is from RNAcentral.
GACGAACGCUGGCAGCGUGCUUAACACAUGCAAGUCGAACGGAAAGGCCCUGCUUUUGUGGGGUGCUCGAGUGGCGAACGGGUGAGUAACACGUGAGUAACCUGCCCUUGACUUUGGGAUAACUUCAGGAAACUGGGGCUAAUACCGGAUAGGAGCUCCUGCUGCAUGGUGGGGGUUGGAAAGUUUCGGCGGUUGGGGAUGGACUCGCGGCUUAUCAGCUUGUUGGUGGGGUAGUGGCUUACCAAGGCUUUGACGGGUAGCCGGCCUGAGAGGGUGACCGGCCACAUUGGGACUGAGAUACGGCCCAGACUCCUACGGGAGGCAGCAGUGGGGAAUAUUGCACAAUGGGCGGAAGCCUGAUGCAGCAACGCCGCGUGCGGGAUGACGGCCUUCGGGUUGUAAACCGCUUUCGCCUGUGACGAAGCGUGAGUGACGGUAAUGGGCAAAGAAGCACCGGCUAACUACGUG